Molecule: non-coding RNA, 34 nt
Organism: Schistosoma rodhaini
Lineage: Eukaryota; Metazoa; Platyhelminthes; Trematoda; Strigeidida; Schistosomatidae
Source: Rfam
CUGAGGAGUCCCACAAUAGGACGAAACGGCCGUC